This 528-nucleotide long non-coding RNA is filed under the name Ixodes scapularis (black-legged tick). RNAcentral describes it as "uncharacterized LOC120843948". The record is from RNAcentral. Lineage: Eukaryota; Metazoa; Arthropoda; Arachnida; Ixodida; Ixodidae.
UGUAUUUAGCCCAACACUCGGUGUACCAUGUGCUUUGAUAUCUGGGGGUUCCGUGACUGGGGCAACUGGGGUUUCUUGUGGAAAGACCUUCGGCAUUUUCCUAUUGAAACCAGACGUGGCUGUCGAGAUUCAGUCGAUUCGUUCUUUAGCGGUGAUUAACCGUCUGUUCGUCAUGACUGCUGGAUUGACGGUCAUCCUCCCGAGGCAAAGCAGCCCGCGGUGGACGUGCCGAGGUUCUGCGGGAAAGAACAAGGAUGACCGGGAGACCAACACUUUCUGCAGGAGCCACAAGGCAGGCCAUGGUUUCAUCGAACAGCCGGGAGAUGAGCGGGAUGCUGAAGGAUAGCGGCGCUCACUUCAGUGAGCCCAGCUUGAACCCCGCCAUUGGCGUCCUGGGCACCACUCUGAAUAAGCUGCUUCAGUUGUGACUUGUAGCACAAAGUUUCUGUCACCCAGUUCAUCGUCAUCUCUGAACCAAAGGGAUUGGUCCUGCCUGCUAGUCACCACUUGAAUAAAAGUUGGAAUGGU